UUUUGGCCACCGCUGGCCGUCCCUCUGCUGUUUCGGUGGUGAUCACUUUUGCUGCCAUCUCGCCUUGCGCCGAGGGUUAGUCUUUACGAAAUUUCGUCAUCGUCGUCAGGGUUGCACCCCCUCCAUUGGUUGCGAUAAGCGCUGACGAGGAAGGUGGAUCGCGCGCCCCUGAGCGUUUCCGUGCGUGAGUUUAGACGUGUGGGAGCGCUAGCGUAUCUUGUGGCCGCGCCCUCCCCUUCCCUUUCUCCGCUUCAGUCUCGCCUUCUUUUUACUACCUUUUUGUUUUGCUUCUGCCCAUGUGCACACACCCUUUGUGACCCGUUGUGCAACCUGUGCUCCCCCUCUUCCCAUUUCCCCUUGAAACGCCACACGAGAGGGGAGCAUCUUGACAGGAGCUCGACGUAGACAGCCGUGGCGUUUGAUACAGUUGCUAUGGGGGCUCUUUCCUUUUCACUGAACCGCCUCUUACACCCCCCCCCUCUGCGCCUCUGCUGCUGAUCGACACAUCCUUUUGGCGAGAGCCUUCGUCUUUUCUUUCUCUUCUAAAUAGUGGCCUCCCUCCUCGUGGCGCUCACACAGCUCAACUGAAGCGUGGAGCGACCGUCAUUGAACAGAACUUCAGAGCCCUAGUGCACGCGCGCUUGCCGCUCUCUCACUUCUCCGGGCCACUGCCUUCUACGGGAGCCCCUCACUCUCCUGAGUAGCAAGAGCGACGGACUCGAUAUGCCCUCCGUAAGUCUGCGCAGUGGCGAUGCUGCAGCAAAUUUAGCAUCGACGCAGUCCCCCUUCGCAGGGAGACAAAGUGCCUCUUUAUCCUCUCACGGCAGCGCUGAGGGCAAUGACGAUGGCAGGCGAUUAGCUCGCGAGUCGGCGCCGCCGCCGCAGCAGCAGCAGCAGCAGAAGCAGCAACGCGCACCGAAGCCCUCCGCGCCGAUCUCAAAGGGCGAAUUCGUGCAGAAGGCGCGGGAGAGGGUGGACGCAUCCGCCAAGGCGCGCGGCAGCCGCCCGUCUUGGAGGGAGUGUCAGCCCGAGGAAAAGCCUCGCAAGCGCCGGAAACAGCACGUGGAAAAGGAGGAUAGGCAGAAGGUGGCGCUGCGGCAGUCAUCGGCGCAUCGUCGUCGCGUCAUCCCGACCCCACCGCACCGGCAAAUUUUCCUCGUUGGCAAUUACUACUGCGGCGCAGGUGUGCUUAGCGCGCAGAAGCACGAGAGCUUCCUCGCUGCGUACUCGAGCGGCGGCGGUGGCGUUGGCAAUGCCCGUGGCGUUGAUGGAGGGAUGACGUAUGCGGGUGCGUCAACCACGGUGCUGCCCAACCACGCCGGCACCGGCAUGUCUGCCCCGAAAGGCAUGUCGCUUCACGCUUCCCCUCCUGUCCCAUCCGGCGUCCAGCCCUUUAGCAACUCCUUGGGUAUCCUCAACAUGCAGACAGGAUCGCCAUCGCACAGUCCAAUGGCACAGUCGUCCACUAACGCCGCUGCUUUUGCAAACUCCCAUCGUAGCCAUCGCAAGCGCAGGGGCUCCGAGAAGCUGCGUGUGAUGCAGCGCUUCUACGAGCCGGUGGAGCUGCAGGUGGAGUCCAUCUCAGCCUUCGCGAUGCGACUCACCCUUGUGCUGUGGCACGCGUGCCUUAUCGCGGCUCUCGUCGUCGAAGUCAUUCCGAAGGUGCAAUGGUCGAUGGUGAACAUCUGUGGCACAGCUUACGGCGUAGAUCUGCGGCACAUGGACAAGUGGACGAGCCCCUGCGUGACUUCGCCGACUGCAGCGGCUAACGGCACCCUCGCGACACCAGCGACGGUGUCGCUUAGGUGGGUCGGCUCGACCUUGACCCAUCAGCAUAGCAGUAUGGUGCGCUACCGGCGCGUGGCCUUUAGUCUACCUCCGCCAACUGACCAGGCAGGUAUAGUGCAGGUGUACAACGUCGUCGCCGAGAAUCGCAUAUCGGGCAACGGAGUCGAGCGGGUCUCGGAGUACCCCUUGUCGAUUCGCUGCGACAGGACGAAGACUCGGUGCGAUGUGGCGCGUGUGCCGGAGCUCUUGCUUGGCAACACGCCCACGCUUGCGGGCGAGUUCAGCUUUACCCUGACCUUGGUGCCGGAAUCGCUGGCGGCCGGGGCGGCCGGUGGCUCCGUCGGCAUUGCCUACCAACGCUCUGCCUACACGGUUGCCACGAUUGUGUGGCGCUACACACUGAUGGUCUUUUCCCUAAUUCACACGCUACGCUUUGUCGCGUACUGCAAGUACACGAGCGCCCUGUACGAGCAGAGCUGGACGCUUGUCCUGCAGGUGGCGCUACUGUGGUACAUGAACCCGCUGUUCGCGCUGAACAUCACGAGCUGGCCCUUAUCCUCCAUGCUAGCCUUCAUGGAGUACCGCAUCCCCACCUACUUCAUGGCGGUGUCGAUCGCGUACAUGCUCUCCGUCAUGACCGCCUCGAUGAUGUGGGCCCGCCCUCUCGAAGCGAAGCCGAACGACGGCGCCUUCGCCAAGCUCAAGGCCUUACUCGCGCGGAGCCGAAACGUGUGCGACCCACCCAUGUGGACGAAGAUCCUCAUCUCUGUCUACAUGCUCAGCAUCUGUGUGCUGGACAUUGUGGAUGCGAGCGUGAACAAGUACAUGUGGCAGCUCACCUCCAACAGCGAGGUGCGGUUCAAGCGGCUCUACUGGUUCGUCAUCAUCCUUCAGAUUUCUGGCGGUCUCGUCUGCCUGUUGCUCCUCUUCUACCUACGCAGCUACCUCGGGAAAAAGCCGUACUUGGAAAGCCGUCCGCAGCAGCUUGCCUGCCGUGUGUUCUUGAUGGUCUUCCUGUCCGCCAUUGCUUACUGCGUGAUUCACUGUCUCGUUUUCUUUUUGUUCUACAACCGCGGCUACCCGGCGCUGGCCUCGCAGCAGCCAUUGCUGCAACUUCCGAUGUUGAUGGUCGCGAGCUUCUUUGUGAAUAUCAUGACGCUUGUCUACACCUCGCAGAGCCGCGACGAGAACGUACCCGUCAACCCGAGGGACCCACGUUGGAAACACAUGGUGUGGCCCGACACGUGGUAUCGCUGGUUGGCGCGGCACGGCGGCAGCCAGUACAUCUUUGUCACAGAACAGGAGGAGACGCGGUUUUACCGUCUUCAGUUUCAAUUUCGACGGCGGCAGUACAUGGCGAAGCAGAAACGGCUUCAGAACGCGGGCGGAGCGGUGGCGAGCUUCGUACCCACUUUGGCCGGCUCCAUCGCCGCCACCACGCCGUGGGAGCGCACGCAGAACGCAAUGCAGUCCAACCUGUUGCCCCCCAUGCGUGAAAUGCAGGGUGACGGCUGCCGUGCGACGAGCUCGCUGCAGCGCGACGGCGGCGCUCCCGUGUCGUGGCGCACUGACGUAUGCGCGUCGCCGCAGCCGAGCCGCCUGGUGAGUGCGACAGACACGGACGACGACGCCGAUGACGGCGGCAGCCAGCACCAUGAGGAGUCACCGGUUGCGCGGGACAACAGUCGUGGCACUAUCAGCCUCGUGCGCUGCGAUGGCCGUUCGGGUGUGCCGGCCGCACGAGGAGCAAGCCACCUGGCCAUCGAGCCGAGUCCGUCGCGACGCUUCGGCGAUGACAGUGGCGCUGGUGCUGCAACCACCACACUCGACAUGCGGAGCAGUGGCUUUUGGCGCGGCCAUAGUGAUGUAGACUCGAAUGGCUUGAUGCCGGUGAGCGUGGCGGCACGCCACAUCAUCAACAUGGAUCGCUUUAGCACCUACUUUCUAGCAGACGGCGACGGCACCGCUGGUGGUGGCGGAGGCGUUACGGAGUCGUACGCCGGCGUUAGGCGCGAUAGGUCAUUGGCAGGAGACGCAUACGCUAUUGAAGGCCCCGCGCGAUGGCGGUCCCGGAUUCGGCAGAACGCAUCUGCCGCGCGAGGUCUUGACGGCGGAGACGGCAGCGCUACGUUUUGUAGGUUUUCGCAGCGCCAGGCAGCAUUGUCGGCGAAUACCUUGGCGCACACGUACAGUGGUUUUGACUGCCACAGCGGCCGUGCUUCUCCGUCACUGGCGCCGUUGAAGCAUGCUGGGUGGUGCCAGCACCACGCACGCUCCCGUUCGGAUGGGAACGCUCCCACUAACUCGUGGGGGGAUGCGGACGCGGAGUCCGCCAGACGCAGCCGCAAGACUGUCUCACGGCAUGCCACGCCUCCACUGGCGCCGCGGUCACGCUACCGAGAUCCCUCCGCCGGUACAGGCGUGGCAGGGGACACUGAGAUACCCAUAGCAGCGUUCUCGAGAGCGUUGCAGGCGGCAGCUGCGACGCCAGCGGAGGCUUCAGUCUCGGUGUUGCCGCACACCGAGGUGGACGAGGAGUGGCACAAACAUGACAAGCGGCGACUAAGCGAAAGCGAAGUCGCCUUAGGCACCAACAAUGACACCUUCGUGCGCCAGCGCGAUUCUCUGCCGUGCGCGAUGCUUCCGAUGCAGGCGCCGACUGCAGACGCAUCCGAUGCUAACGAUGGAAGCAAUCUCAAAGGAACGCCGCUUGUGGGGAAGGACGACCCUCCCACUGUGUCGUGCAUUUCACCACUGUUGACGGCAGACGCGUCUUGCGUUGCGCCAGCGAGCAGCGGUGUUGAUGCCAAUGCGCGACAGGUCUCUGUACAUGGCGACACAGGAAGUCAUCCGCGCAUAUCGCACUCCAGAGAUGGCGACGCGCUAUUCGACCUCUCUUUGCGCACCUCGGGCGACAGCGAUGAUACCAGCAGCAGCGACCGCACGCGUGGCGGCACUCGCUCUUUGAUGCGCACCCUGGUUCUGGCGCGGGAGCGCUUGGGAGCGCUGAUCGGGACGGCGGAGCAGAACCUGCUGGAACGGCCGGUUCGUGGCUUGGAGCGGCUCGAGACGCACAUCUUCGACGCAGCGUAUCGGCCUUUUCAGUCAAUGCAGUACCUGCCCUUUUUCAACCUCGAGACUGCCAUCGACUGCUUUAACAUCUCCUGGGAGGCCUACGGUGUGGAGGAGAGCACUGGCGGCCAGGCGAUCGAGACGGGUAUUCAGAUGACGCCGCAGAGCGUUCCUCGCGCUGUGGCCAACGCUAUCAAGAAUCGACUCUGCGGCUGCUGCCCAGCGGAGGAAGACACGGGCGACGACGACGCCGAAGAUGACAGCGGAAGAGAGGCAGAUCAGGCAGUCGCGGGCGCGCGGGAAGUCGCUGGCUCAAUUGGCGGCGCUAGCGAGGGCAGUGCAGCAGUCGCGUCCGCCAUCGGCGACGCUCGCACGGGGCAGGAGAUGCAUGUGCCCACCACGCCGUGCACGCGUGACUCGGACACGGUCAUUGUUCAUAUACGCAGCGAAGAUGACAGCGGCGGCGCAGCCGCGUCACCGCCAACCUCCACGCCUGCACUCGCCGGUAAGCGUCCGCCCAGCCGUUCCGCCUUGUCACCCACUGAGACUGAAUCGGGGGCGCCGGCGCCGACGGUAGCCGCAGCCGCAGCCACCGUCGCCGACUCGGCGGUGCUGCCCAUGAACGUCGAGAAGUAUGGCUUUGUGCGGCUACUGGUAGCGGAGGCGAGGGAGGUGCAGGUGCUCAUGGUGAAGAUGGACACGAGCGCUCGUGAACACAAGGGCAAGGCGCCGCGCGUCAUCAUCGGCUUCCGCGGGACCGCGAACAUGACCAACGCCAAGUACGACAUGAACAUUCACCGGGUCGUGUGGCGGGAGAUGGAGAAGACGGCCGACAGGGAGGCAGCGAACGCGGCGGGCGAAGAGGUGUCCGAGUUGGCGAGCACCUUUGACGACGGCAGCACCACAGCUGCGCAGCACCUCGGCUGUGCGUCGUGCAUCCAUUCGUGCAUGCGCAAGACGUCGUGGCGGCCCACCUGCCACGCCGGGUUUCUUACCAUCUGGAAGACGCUGAAGCCUACAGUGCUGUCGCGGUUGCGCGACGUCCUGUGUGACGACCGCGGCACCGUCUACCGCAUCUUCACAACCGGCCACAGCCUCGGCGGCGCCCUGGCGUCCCUCUGCGCGUAUAGCAUCACCUACAUGCUGAGGCGCAUGGACUACCCCAUCGCCGACGUGACCGUCUACACGUACGGCCAGCCACGCAUGGGCAAUCGAGCGUUCCAGCACAUUUACAACAAGGCCGUUCCGCGCACAUUCCGCGUUGUGAAUGAGAGCGACGUUGUCGUGAACAUGUUCAUCUUUGGCGGCUACCACGUCGGCAUCGAGGUGGACGUGGACCGCAAUGGCAACUUUAUUGUGAAGCCGACAGCGAUUGAGAAACUGUUUCCGCCGACGAAGGGGCGGGGGUUGAUGGUGGUCAACCACCUCCUGACCAGCUACGGGAUUUCGCUGAAUGCGAUCGCCUCUCGGACCCCAUGCCCGGCGCGCGGGCUUGACUUUUACUUGACCGCCGACCCCGAAAAGGUGGAGGCCGAGACGGUGAAGAUGGAGGCAAUCCACGCGGCGCAGUCGUAGAGCCGAGAAGCAAGUCGACAGGACGUGCGCAGAGAGAGUGAGAGGGAGGUCCACACUGCCGAUAGCAAGUGGGGGGGCGAGAUCUGGUGACGACCACUAGGGAAGAUCGUUGCUGCCGUCAUGCCGAUAGGGGCACCCUCGUUGCGAGCGCGUGAUGGCUUGCGCACAGCUGCCGUCACUGCUCAGGUAUGCGAGAGGGGGAGAGAAAAAGAGGGACCUCUUUUUUGAUCUACCCACGUCAUGGGCGGGUAAACACACAUACGCUCAGCCGCACUCGUACGCGCGUGGCAAGCACGAUGCAUGAACCCGCCGCGUGCGCUCUUGCUGUUGUUGUCUGCUGAAGGGGCGGCUACAAAGAGCCGCUAAUUCACGCGCAUAACGGAGGAGACGCUGAUCUUCACGGCUGCGCGUGGGGACGCAUCACCACCAACACCACCGCCUCCUCCCUCCAUGGGUGGUGGUUCACUGCAUCGUGCAUAAUACAAACUUGCAGCUUGG
This 6933-nucleotide unclassified non-coding RNA is filed under the name Leishmania donovani. Its description in RNAcentral is "gene:LdHU3.29.1870(CDS-product:lipase_domain_prot ein_putative)". The record is from RNAcentral. Lineage: Eukaryota; Euglenozoa; Kinetoplastea; Trypanosomatida; Trypanosomatidae.